AUACCAUGGUGUGGACAUUUUCUUAAUAUUGCUUUUAAUCGUUCCCAUACUUGGUAUUCAGAUUCAGAAUCUGUUUGCAUAAAAUUAUUGAUUUCUUGCUUCAUUUU
RNAcentral lists this small nucleolar RNA (107 nucleotides) under Nicotiana sylvestris (wood tobacco). RNAcentral describes it as "Plant small nucleolar RNA R71". It matches the Rfam family "Plant small nucleolar RNA R71". From Rfam's summary of the family: R71 is a member of the C/D box family of snoRNAs containing the C (UGAUGA) and D (CUGA) box motifs. Multiple nearly identical copies of this snoRNA have been identified in Arabidopsis, and it is thought to function as a 2'-O-ribose methylation guide for 18S ribosomal RNA. The record is from Rfam by way of RNAcentral. Lineage: Eukaryota; Viridiplantae; Streptophyta; Magnoliopsida; Solanales; Solanaceae.